Molecule: long non-coding RNA, 6186 nt
Filed under: Erythranthe guttata (spotted monkey flower)
Lineage: Eukaryota; Viridiplantae; Streptophyta; Magnoliopsida; Lamiales; Phrymaceae
Description: long non-coding RNA (EGUT_LNC001275)
Source: RNAcentral
AUAUAUAUAUAUAUACUAGGGGUGGAGCUCCGCGCAAGGCGCGGAGCUGGUGCCCGAUCGAUUAAACCAUACAACAAUAAAAUCAUUACAUUGCAGAUAAAACAAAGAGAAAAAUGGAAAAACAACAACAAGCAACGGUGAAGAUCUUAUUCCUUUAUAGUCCAUAGAAACAAAUUUAGAGAAACUACAGAUUCAGCAUGAGCCUCAAGAAAUGUAGUCUGCAGAUAAGAAAUUGUUAUUUUGUACCGCUCUUCUUCAAAUCUUACAAAACGCAACUAUAUAUGCAAACUCUUUUCCAGAUAACACAAAAUAUUUCUAAAUAUUAUGUUUAGAGGAAUGUAUUAAAGCUUACAGUUUCUAGCAACGAUGAUGUAACACCUCCCUUGAUAGCAACUCAAAAUAUAUAUAUUGAUAAAAAGGAAAUUACAGAUAACAGAGAUUGAAUCGGGAAGCUUAAACACGUGAAAAACUUCGAGAAUCAAGUCCAAACAUUCAGCUCAAAACCUAAGAAACUUAACCUAAAAAUCAGCUAGUUUCCCUCAGCUCAACUUUCCCUAUUUAUACCCAAUCUAUAACUAGAAAGUGCUACUUAAGAUUAAAAACGUGAAAACGCUUCAUCAGCCAACAACUCUUCCUUCUCUUCCUCUAUUCUUCGGCCACGUGUCUUGAUGAGAGCCGCUACUAAUAAAAACGUGAUAAGCUUGAAAACGCUAAACAGAAAUGCGUUUUAAACUGCGUCUUAGUAAUAUAGGUGUGGUAAAUAUAAUAUUAAAUAAUCUGCAUGUCUUCUUCCCUCUUCGUCUAUUUUCCUUGCAUGUCUUCUUCUUCCUCUCUUACUAUAAUUAUGUCUUCUGGAAUGAGCUCGUAACAAUGCCUUCCCCUAAAAUGUCCUUGUCCUCAAGGACAGAAGGUGGGAAAGCGUCGUUGGAUGUCCUCGCAAUCCUCCCACGUCGAAUCUUCGUCUGGAGCGUUGAACCAUUUGAUCAGCCAUUGCGUUACUGCCCGAUUGCCCUUCUUCACUAACCUGCGAUCAACAACAGAAUGUGGUUCGAGUAAUAUGUGCCCGUCUGCAGUGAUUGUAGUAGGUAAGUGUUUUUGGCUGAUUAAAGGCCCUAUUUUCUUCUUAAGUUGAGAGACAUGAAAUGUUGGGUGGAUCUUGGAAUUCUGUGGCAGUUCUAGUGUAUAAGCCACCUCCCCAAUUCUCUGUAGUAUCUUAUAAGGUCCAAAAAAACGAGAUGAUAGCUUGUUAUACGUUUGAGUUCGAGCAGAUUGCUGCCUAUAAGGCUGCAACUUCACAAACACCCAGUCAUCAACUUGAAAAGUCCUCUCACUUCUCCUUUUAUCUGCCUGCAUUUUCAUUCUGUUUUGUGCCCUCAAUAACUGCUCUCUUAUCACUCGGAUCGUGGCUUCCCUAUGCUGCAAGCUUCUGCCCACCAUUUUAUUAGAGGCUGCCAUGGGAAUAUAGGGUAAAUGAAGAGGAUCCUUCUGACCAUACAUCACUUCAUAAGGGGUAGUUUGCAAGGAUGAAUGAAAGGUGGUGUUGUACCACCACUCUGCUAAAGGCAGCCAUUGUGCCCAGUCCUUAGGUCUCUCUCCACUCAUGCACCUUAAGUAACCUUCCAAGCACUUGUUCACUAUCUUAGAUUGACCAUCAGUCUGAGGGUGAUAGGCAGUUGAAGUGUGAAGUUGUGCUCCUUGAAGCUUGAAGAAUUCCUGCCAAAAUUUGCUCAUGAAAAUAGGGUCUCUAUCACUGACUAUAGUCUUAGGCAUUCCAUGUAGUUUGUACACAUUCUCCAUGAAGAGUUGUGCCACUGAGCUGGCUGUGUAUGGGUGCUUUAAGCUCAUGAAAUGUGCAGCUUUACUUAAUCUGUCCACCACCACCAAAAUGGUGUCUUUUCCCCCAGAAGUUGGUAAGCCACCAAUGAAAUCCAUGGAGAUGUCUUCCCAUAUCUUUUCAGGAAUAGGAAGAGGCUGCAGCAGUCCUGGUGUUGCUACAGUUUCUCCUUUGUUCCUUUGACAAACAUCACAUUGUUGCACAAAAGUGUGCACAUCUUUCUUGAGCCCCUUCCAAUAAAAGGUCUGUUUGAUCCUUUGUAAAGUGCUGUGGAUGCCAGAAUGCCCCCCUACUGCAGCACCAUGAAAGUGGUUCAAAAUUUUUUGUCUGAGUUCCACCACUUCUCCUACCACCAAUUUCCCUUUUCUCAACAACACUUCUGCAUUCCAAGAAUAAGAUGGCCUGUUGCCUCUGCCUUCUUUCAAAUCAUCAAUAAUCUGCUUGAGUCUUAGGUCAGAAGUGUAAGCUCUUCUUAUCUCUUCCAUAAAUGAGCAUUGAGGAAUUGAGAGUGUGAAGCAACUAGCUUCUGGAACAAUGACUCUAGACAGUCCAUCUGCCACUACAUUAUCCUUCCCUCUCUUGUAUGAUACUGAAAAAUCAUACCCUAACAACUUCACUAACCACUUUUGUUGAGCUGGAGUGGCUACUCUUUGAUCCAUUAGGUACUUCAGACUUUGGUGAUCAGUUUUUAUAGUGAAAUGAUUUCCAAUCAAAUAAGGUCUCCAUUUCUGAACAGCAGUCACUAAUGCAAGGAGUUAUUUUUCAUAAGUAGAUAGAGCUCCUUGGGUCAUGUUUAGAGCCUUGCUCAUGUAGGCAAUUGGUCUGCCUUGUUGCAUUAACACUGCUCCCAUACCAGUUCCAGAUGCAUCAGUUUCAAUGGUGAAUUCCUUAGAAAAAUCAGGAAGUGCUAAGACUGGAGUUUCAGUUAUGGCUUUCUUGAGAUCAUUAAAUGCCUGUUGAGCCUCCUUACUCCAUUUAAAGCAGUCCUUUCUCAAUAACUGAGUUAAAGGUUGGGCUAUCUUGCCAUAAUCUUUAACAAAUCUUCUAUAGUUACCAGUCAACCCCAAGAAUCCCCUCAGGUGUUUAAUUGUUUUGGGGGUGGGCCAGUCAGUCAUGGCCUGAGUUUUGGUGGGGUCAGCUGCCACACCCUCUGGUGUAAUUACAUGUCCUAAAUACUCAAUGGAAGAACUUCCAAAAGAGCAUUUAUUCAUCUUAAUAAACAGUUGGUGUAGUCUUAAAAGCUCUAGAACUGUCCUCAACUGCUCUAGAUGGGAGUUCCAACUCUCGUUAUAGACUAAAAUGUCAUCAAAAAAGACCAAAACAAACUUCCUCAGUUGUUCUUGGAACACCUGAUUCAUGAGGCUUUGAAAGGUGGAAGGUGCAUUAGUUAGGCCAAAUGGCAUCACUAGAAAUUCAUAGUGCCCAUGGUGAGUUCUAAAAGCUGUUUUCAUAAUGUCUUCCUCAUGCAUUCUGAUUUGGUGAUAACCAGAUCUCAAAUCCAGCUUAGAGAAAACCCUUGCCCCAUGCAAUUCAUCUAAUAGUUCCUCAAUCACUGGAAUAGGGAAUUUAUCCUUAACUGUGUUUUUGUUCAGUUCUCUAUAGUCCACACACAUCCUCCAAGAGUUGUCCUUCUUUUUCACCAACACCACUGGUGAAGAGAAGGGGCUACUACUAGUUCUAAUCACCCCUGCAUUCAGCAGCUCUUGCACUAUAGCCUCAAUUUCAUUCUUUUGCACAGUUGGAUAUCUAUAUGGUCUAACAUUGACAGCCUCUGACCCUUCCUUGAGGUGUAUCUUAUGAUCAUGGUCUCUAUGAGGUGGUAGGCCCUUAGGUUCCACAAAUAAGUCUGCAUAAUCACUAAGCAGCACUUGCAAGCCUUCUCUGCCUACACACUCCAUAGCAUUCAGACUAGCAAUGCAUUCUGGUACUCCUUCUAAUUGAUCACUGUUAGCAGGUGCUGGUUCCAUGGUCAGGGCAGUGCCAUCUUGCAGACUUCCAAUACACUGAUAAGCUAUUUGGGAAGGUUUUUGCAAAAUCUUGUUCAGUUUCUUGUUAGAGACUAGCUUGACUGAGUUAGGCUGGAGACCUCUCAGUACCACCUUCCUUCCCAUGUGGUUAAAUUCCAUCUUUAGUUGCAGAUAGUUGCUGCAAAUGUCCCCCAAUGUCACUAGCCAUUGAAUGCCUAACACUAGAUCACAGCUCCCUAAUGGUAGUGUCAUGACUUCAGCAGAAAACUCCACCCCAUGCAUUUUCCAAGUGAAGUUAGGACACUUGAACCUUGUAAUGAGCCUGCUUCCUCCAGGUACAUUCACAGAUGAUGGUUUCAUCUCCACCAAUUCACAACCUAGUGAUUUUGCAGUCUGCUCAUCCUCAAAAUUGUGGGUGCUCCCAUUGUCAAUUAAGAUGUGUAUAUUCUUUCCCUUGGCUGACCCUGUGAGUCUCAUGUUUCUGAAGUCAUGUGUGCCAGUCAUAGCAUGCAUGGAAACUUGAGAUAGCUGUUCCUCUCCAUCUUCUACCCUCUCUUCAGUCACUACACUUGGGUUGUACUCCAUUUCACUUUCAAUCAUAGACUCAUCCUCAGGUAUCUCCAUCACAUACAUCUGCCUAUUUUUGGGGCAGUUGUGGUCUCUGGAGUACUUUUCAUCACACCAGAAGCACAAGCCCUUAGCUCUUCUAUCAUCAACUUCUUGGUUACUCAGCCUUUUGGUUUGGUUGAAGGAUUGGUUCUGGUUUUUGGGAAAGGUUGGGCUAUUUCUGUUGGAUUGGGGGCUGGAAUAAUUAUUGUUUGUAUAGGUAUGGGUGUUUUGGCUAGGGUUUCUAUUGAUAUUUAGGUUGUUUGGCCUGUUGACAGUGUAUGAAGCUCUGAUAGGGUUUUGGGUAGGGUUGUAGGUAGGGUUAUGGUUUUGACUAGGGUGUUUCUUUGGAGAUAAGGUAAUGGUUUGUUCUUGCAGCUUAGCUAAGCUCACUACUUCCAUCAUGUUCUUGGGUUUGAACAUCCUGAUUUGCAAAGAGAUUUCAGGUUUCAAUCCCCCCAAAAAACAGCUCACUGCAUAAGGUUCUGAAAGGUCCACACAGUUCAUUAAUUCAUCAAAUCUGUCAAGGUAGUCUUGUAGGGAUCCAGUUUGCCUGAGGUUCAUAAGCUCAGACAUGGGAUCUUCGAAGAGCAGUGUGCCAAACCUGCUAUUCAGAGCCCUAAUAUACUCUUCCCAUCUUGGAAUCUCUCUUGUUAGACGUGCCUUCAUGAACGUUUGGUGCCACUGAAGGGCCCUCCCUUCCAAAUGCACUGCUGUUAGCUUCACCUUUGAGCUCGAUGGUGUGCCAUCCACAUCGAAGAAUUGGUCACAUUUGUACACCCAGCUGCGAAGGUUUGUGCCAUCAAACUUCGGAAAUUCCACCGAAGAACACUUAGUAGGCAGUUGAUACUCUGCCCCCCACUGAGGACCUUCCUGAUUCCCCAGAUCUGGAGGUCUGCCUCCAUUGUCAUGUGGAGCUGCUUGUUGUUGCAGCUUGGCCAUCAUCAAGGUCAUCAUAGCACGGUUCUCCUCCACGUUCUUAGCAUUAGCUUCAGAUAUGGCCUGCAUUUGUUCCCUCAUCAUGUCCAUAUCCUUCCUCAGCUCAGCAAAUCUAGUACCAUCAGCCAUGGUGCUUCACAGAAUCGAUGGCUCUGGAUACCAAUUGAUAGCAACUCAAAAUAUAUAUAUUGAUAAAAAGGAAAUUACAGAUAACAGAGAUUGAAUCGAGAAGCUUAAACACGUGAAAAACUUCGAGAAUCAAGUCCAAACAUUCAGCUCAAAACCUAAGAAACUUAACCUAAAAAUCAGCUAGUUUCCCUCAGCUCAACUUUCCCUAUUUAUACCCAAUCUAUAACUAGAAAGUGCUACUUAAGAUUAAAAACGUGAAAACGCUUCAUCAGCCAACAACUCUUCCUUCUCUUCCUCUAUUCUUCGGCCACGUGUCUUGAUGAGAGCCGCUAUUAAUAAAAACGUGAUAAGCUUGAAAACGCUAAACAUAAAUGCGUUUUAAACUGCGUCUUAGUAAUAUAGGUGUGGUAAAUAUAAUAUUAAAUAAUCUGCAUGUCUUCUUCCCUCUUCGUCUCUUUUCCUUGCAUGUCUUCUUCUUCCUCUCUUACUAUAAUUAUGUCUUCUGGAAUGAGCUCGUAACAUCCCUCCACCGAUUCUCAUAUUUGCCUGAACAGGGGCACCAAAGCCAAUGGACGAAUCAUGAGGUCUGAAAAGAAUUGAGGCAAAAUAUUUAAGUUCUCGUAUAGGAAAAUAAUAAAAUUCUGAGGAUAGAAAUUUACACCUCAAAUAGUCAAUGCUCCAUAAUCAGUUGCUACCAUCAUCGGCAAUCAU